GACGAACGCUGGCGGCGUGCCUAAUACAUGCAAGUAGAACGCUGAAGGAGGAGCUUGCUUCUCCGGAUGAGUUGCGAACGGGUGAGUAACGAGUAGGUAACCUGCCUGGUAGCGGGGGAUAACUAUUGGAAACGAUAGCUAAUACCGCAUAAGAGUAGAUGUCGCAUGACAUUUGCUUAAAAGGUGCAACUGCACCACUACCAGAUGGACCUGCGUUGUAUUAGCUAGUUGGUGAGGUAACGGCUCACCAAGGCAACGAUACAUAGCCGACCUGAGAGGGUGAUCGGCCACACUGGGACUGAGACACGGCCCAGACUCCUACGGGAGGCAGCAGUAGGGAAGCUUCGGCGAUGGACGGAAGUCUGACCGAGCAACGCCGCGUGAGUGAAGAAGGUUUUCGGAUCGUAAAGCUCUGUUGUAAGAGAAGAACGAGUGUGAGAGUGGAAAGUUCACACUGUGACGGUAUCUUACCAGAAAGGGACGGCUAACUACGUG
RNAcentral lists this ribosomal RNA (495 nucleotides) under uncultured bacterium. RNAcentral describes it as "partial 16S ribosomal RNA". It matches the Rfam family "Bacterial small subunit ribosomal RNA", at positions 28 to 507 of the family's 1533-position model. The record is from RNAcentral.